This 414-nucleotide ribosomal RNA is filed under the name uncultured microorganism. RNAcentral's name for it is "bacterial SSU rRNA". It matches the Rfam family "Archaeal small subunit ribosomal RNA", at positions 459 to 872 of the family's 1478-position model. The record is from RNAcentral.
CAGCAGCCGCGGUAAUACCGGCGGCCCGAGUGGCGGUCACUAUUAUUGGGCUUAAAACGUCCGUAGCCGGGUUGGGAAGUCCUCCGGGGAAUCUGGCCGCUUAAAGGUCAGAAUGCCGGAGGAUACUCCCAGCCUAGGGAGCGGGAGAGGCCGAGGGUAUUCCCGGAGGAGGGGUGAAAUCCUAUAAUCCCGGGAGGACCACCUGUGGCGAAGGCGCUCGGCUGGAACGCGUCCGACGGUGAGGGACGAAGGCCAGGGGAGCAAACCGGAUUAGAUACCCGGGUAGUCCUGGCUGUAAACGAUGCGGACUUUGUGUCGGACAAGCUAUGAGCUUGUCCGGUGCCGGAGGGAAACCGUUAAGUCCGCCGCCUGGGGAGUACGGCCGCAAGGCUGAAACUUAAAGGAAUUGGCGGG